GGCACCCUGGGACAAGCAGAGCUAGAGCUCCUGGACCAGGGCUCAGGCUCAUGUGCUGAGGAACAGCUUGGGAGUGCCGCUGGCCUGAGCCCUCCAAGGAAAGAAGAAGGGUGCGGUGCGUGUGUGAGUGCGGACUCAUUAAGAAGUACAGAGGGAAAGCUAUCCCCCAGACUCCAGGACUGCCGUUGCCCGGGAACGAUGUUUGAGCUGCUGAGACUGUCAUGUUCCUAAUCUCCAACCCAAGAUGUCUAGGAGCAGAGGGCACUGAGAAAUGCAUCAGCCAGCAUCCGCUACCCAUCUUUACCUACCAAGUUAACACCUAACAAGUACAGUGGAAUUAAGAGUCCUGACCUCACUCUUUCAGUGGUGCACUGAUGAAAUGCAUCUGGGUCAAUCAGGACAAUCAUAUAGACAGCAUACGUCUCCUAGAGACCCAAUAUACUUGGCACAUUGGCACACAUGGCUGGAAAGUGAGGAGCUGAAUUGACAGAAUAGAAAAUCCCCAUCUGUGCCCACCGCAGUGCACACCAAUGGCUCAGCUGAAUCUAAAGUCUUUACUAUGAAGUAGAUGAGAGAAAGAGAGAGAUGAGUCUAAGAAAGAAAGCUCUGGAUUAGAGAUCUGAACUUCUCCAUAGUUCAGGAACAUUU
Molecule: long non-coding RNA, 648 nt
Organism: Chelonia mydas (Green sea turtle)
Lineage: Eukaryota; Metazoa; Chordata; Testudines; Cheloniidae
Exons: 3
Source: RefSeq, a predicted model, not a curated record